AGUGAACGCUGGCGGUAGGCCUAACACAUGCAAGUCGAACGGCAGCACAGUAAGAGCUUGCUCUUACGGGUGGCGAGUGGCGGACGGGUGAGGAAUACAUCGGAAUCUACUUUUUCGUGGGGGAUAACGUAGGGAAACUUACGCUAAUACCGCAUACGACCUACGGGUGAAAGCAGGGGAUCUUCGGACCUUUCGCGAUUGUAUGAGCCGAUGUCGGAUUAGCUAGUUGGCGGGGUAAAGGCCCACCAAGGCGACGAUCCGUAGCUGGUCUGAGAGGAUGAUCAGCCACACUGGAACUGAGACACGGUCCAGACUCCUACGGGAGGCAGCAGUAGGGAAUAUUGGACAAUGGGCGCAAGCCUGAUCCAGCCAUACCGCGUGAGUGAAGAAGGCCUUCGGAUUGUAAAGCCCUUUUGUUAGGAAAGAAAAGCAGCAGGUUAAUACCCCGCUGUUCUGACGGUACCCAAAGAAUAAGCACCGGCUAACUUCGUG
RNAcentral lists this ribosomal RNA (492 nucleotides) under uncultured bacterium. RNAcentral's name for it is "partial 16S ribosomal RNA". It matches the Rfam family "Bacterial small subunit ribosomal RNA", at positions 29 to 507 of the family's 1533-position model. The record is from RNAcentral.